Molecule: long non-coding RNA, 589 nt
Organism: Elaeis guineensis (African oil palm)
Lineage: Eukaryota; Viridiplantae; Streptophyta; Magnoliopsida; Arecales; Arecaceae
Source: RefSeq, a predicted model, not a curated record
ACUAGUAUCUCUUCCUCCCCAAACAUUCCAUUGGUAUUAUAUAUUUUACCUAGUCGCAUAUAACGAGUCUGGAGUUCCUCCAUCGAACAGCUUCGGUGCGCCUUCCCAGCAUCGCCGAAGGGAGAAGCGAGCGGAAUGGCAGCUCCCUCUGCGAGCAUCGCCGUCGCAAACGCUAUCUGGGAACAGAUCAAAUGUUCUCUACUCAGGUCUCUCCCUCCCUCUCUCCGCUGCCCUUACUAUUUCCCUGGAGCCUCCCUCUCAAGUCUCAUCCUCUCUUUAUCCAUGACAAACGACCGGAGUGUCCGACGACCACCUAUCCAUCCUGCACUUCUUGUUCGGGAAGAACUCGGAGCGCGCGACGAGGAUCGUCGACCAUGGUGGCGUCCGAAUGAACAGCUGUUUAUUGCAAGCAUCAAAUAGCAGCUCGGCUUGCUGAAGCGGUGGGCGUGCUCACGGAAGUAGAGGUGUCUGAUGAGCAGCUGGCACUUAGGCUUGUGAAACUCUGAUAGUUUUAAGCAUUUCAAAUUGUGCAGGUAUUGAUUUCUUAUUGCUUUUUCUUAAGUCCUAGUUUUGAUUCAAUUUUUUGGGC